Molecule: long non-coding RNA, 134 nt
Organism: Cyprinodon tularosa
Lineage: Eukaryota; Metazoa; Chordata; Actinopteri; Cyprinodontiformes; Cyprinodontidae
Exons: 3
Source: RefSeq, a predicted model, not a curated record
CCAGCUUUCCCCAGUCAGAUGUGAGGGGGAGAGCUGGAGACAAAGGAGCUACAGAUCCGAGAAAUCCAGUGAGUUUGGAGCCUUGGAGCUGCCAUACUCUCAUCCAUUAUUGGAAUUGGCCAGGUGAUCCCUUU